UACGACUACAUAUCAGGCAUAUCAAUAAGCGGAGGAAAAGAAACUAACAAGGAUUCCCUUAGUAACGGCGAGUGAAGCGGGAAGAGCUCAAAUUUGAAAUCUUCAAGGUUUUACCUUGACGAAUUGUAGUUUAAAGAAGUGUUUUCUGUUGGAGUUUCGGUAAAAGUUCUUUGGAAUAGGACAUCAUAGAGGGUGAGAAUCCCGUAUUUGACCAUUAUUUUCAGCUGUGUGAUACACUUUCAAAGAGUCGGAUUGUUUGGGAAUGCAGUCCAAAAUGGGUGGUAAAUUUCAUCUAAAGCUAAAUAUUGGCGAGAGACCGAUAGCGAACAAGUACCGUGAGGGAAAGAUGAAAAGAACUUUGAAAAGAGAGUUAAACAGUACGUGAAAUUGUCAAAAGGGAAGCGUUUGACACCAGUGUUGUUUUCUCGAAAAUCAAUUAAAAAUGGCGUGAUUUUGUGUUGUAUUGACCUUAAAAGCUUUCUUCACUUUUUUCAUGUCUUUUUUAAUGCACUUUUCGUUUAACAAGUCAGCAUCAGUUUCUUUUGUUGUAAAAAGGUCAUUGGAAGGUGGCUUUCUUUUCGGAGAAAGUGUUUAUAGCCUUUGACUCCUGCAAUCGGAGAGACUGAGGUCUGCAGCGUAGAUCCUUCGGGGUUAGAUACAUUUGUGCUAAGUUAUAGCUUUUCAUAGACAACUUGUUGACUAUGUUUAGUCUUGUAGCUUACUCGCUUAUGCUAUUUUACCUACGCUUAGGAUGUUGAACGCGCACAGAGUCUC
Molecule: ribosomal RNA, 774 nt
Filed under: uncultured Neocallimastigales
Lineage: Eukaryota; Fungi; Neocallimastigomycota; Neocallimastigomycetes; Neocallimastigales
Description: partial large subunit ribosomal RNA
Rfam family: Eukaryotic large subunit ribosomal RNA
Source: RNAcentral